RNAcentral lists this ribosomal RNA (372 nucleotides) under Triticum aestivum (bread wheat). RNAcentral's name for it is "partial small subunit ribosomal RNA". The record is from RNAcentral. Lineage: Eukaryota; Viridiplantae; Streptophyta; Magnoliopsida; Poales; Poaceae.
AUGACAUCGUCACUGACUCAGACCACAAGAGUCCUGCUGUGUUCGGCGUCGCACCCUCCACAUCCUGCAAUGGCGAUCACGAUGCCUCUGCAGAACAAUGUGCCGACGCCUGUCACUGCCCUGCGUCCUGCUCCAUGCUGUGCCCAGUGCUACCACCUGCUCUAUGUUGUGCCCUCGAUAGGCACCAUCCUUGGAUGCCAUCUCUUCCAACCUCCUCUUCCCUUCCGGAUUGAUACCAGCGCCCAUCUUCAAAAAAGAUUUGUACCCUUCCAAACUGAUAUCAAUUACAUACUCAAGGCAGUUCUAGGUGUCUGCAAGUUUGUGAUCUGCAAGUAUUAUAGUCAAAAGGAUUUCAAUUAUGAUAGGCCGUAG